GACAAGUUCUCGCUGGUCAUCAGGUUCAGGCGGCUGUUUUGACUCACCCUGAGAGAAAGAGAGAAACAGUGAGAACGGAGAAACAUUCGUGUGAGCGAGUUUGAUCGUGUCUUGCCCUGGGGACGGCUCCGAUUCUCACUUGUUCAGGUGUUCACACAAAUAGAUCGGAGUCAGUCUUGACGAUGGCUUCGAUGCUCGAGGACCUUCAAGACCAGUGUUUCUGUAAUCUCAUCGUGUCCUAUUCGAUUCUUUCAAGUAAAAAAAGGCACAGACCCCAAGCUAUUAAGUAUAUACAGAUAUAUUUUUAAUUAUUAACAAAUGUAUGUACCAUAAACGCAUUAUUAAACAACAUGUUCAACCCUGUUAUCAUAAUGAUCCAUUCCUUAAGUUUCCUUAAACUGUAACAUUUUGGAAGCAAAAAUGUACACCCUUUUAACUGGGAAUACAAGUGUACAUGAUUCAAUUUUUUGUGGUUUCUACACAAAUUGUAGAUUUGACUACAUUCGUCAGGCUUAACUUUCAACCCUGUCACCCAAGUUCUGACAACAGGGUUGUAUGUUGCAAAUAAUAUACUGUAGGGGGAAUAAAAAUGCAUCAAAAAUGUAAAUGCUUUAAGUAAAUGCUGUUGUAUAAAGUACUAGAAGUAUAAAUAUGAAAAAAAGAAAACAAAUCAGAUUUUAAAUGGGCAAAAUAAUAGAUAAGAAACUCUUUAAUUCCCGUGUUUACAGUUCAAUAAAAUAAAGGCAAAUUUAUUCAUAAUUGAAAUUCAAAAAUACCAAUUUAAAAGUUAAAUAAAAAAACUAAAUCGUAAACGGACUCAUAAUGCUCCAUAACUGUGCACCAAAUUUGUAGAAAA
Molecule: long non-coding RNA, 856 nt
Organism: Carassius gibelio (silver crucian carp)
Lineage: Eukaryota; Metazoa; Chordata; Actinopteri; Cypriniformes; Cyprinidae
Exons: 2
Source: RefSeq, a predicted model, not a curated record